GGCGAUGUGUCUGAGCGGCCAAAAGAAACAGUCUGCAAAACUGUACAGCCACGGGUUCGAAUCCCGUCGUCGCCU
This 75-nucleotide transfer RNA is filed under the name Enterococcus sp. RNAcentral's name for it is "tRNA-Cys". It matches the Rfam family "tRNA". Rfam says of the family: Transfer RNA (tRNA) molecules are approximately 80 nucleotides in length. Their secondary structure includes four short double-helical elements and three loops (D, anti-codon, and T loops). Lineage: Bacteria; Bacillati; Bacillota; Bacilli; Lactobacillales; Enterococcaceae. The record is from RNAcentral.